CGAACGGGUGAGUAAUGCGCGACCAACCUGCCCCAUGCUCCAGAAUAGCUCUUGGAAACGGGUGGUAAUGCUGGAUGCUCCAACUUGACGCAUGUCUUGUUGGGAAAGUGUUUAGUGGCAUGGGAUGGGGUCGCGUCCUAUCAGCUUGUAGGCGGGGUAAUGGCCCACCUAGGCUUCGACGGGUAGCCGGCCUGAGAGGGCGGACGGCCACAUUGGGACUGAGAUACGGCCCAGACUCCUACGGGAGGCAGCAGAG
This 256-nucleotide ribosomal RNA is filed under the name uncultured Gardnerella sp. RNAcentral's name for it is "partial 16S ribosomal RNA". It matches the Rfam family "Bacterial small subunit ribosomal RNA", at positions 99 to 354 of the family's 1533-position model. The record is from RNAcentral. Lineage: Bacteria; Bacillati; Actinomycetota; Actinomycetes; Bifidobacteriales; Bifidobacteriaceae.